This 261-nucleotide unclassified non-coding RNA is filed under the name Hevea brasiliensis (rubber tree). Lineage: Eukaryota; Viridiplantae; Streptophyta; Magnoliopsida; Malpighiales; Euphorbiaceae. The record is from RNAcentral.
GGUGGGAACAAACCUCAUUCACUAACCCACCAAUACUAAAACACACAACAUAGACCUACAUUCAUUAUUCAGAACAUUCAAAGAAUCACCUCUUUCUCAAUCAAAAACCAUAUUCUUCAGACAUCGUAGCAAAGGGCUCACUUGGCGCUGGCGAGCUCAGUGCGGAGCUUCUUGGCGGCCUCAACCAUGGCAGUGAGUGCAGGCUUGACCUCACCAUAUUUGCGGGUCUUGAGCCCACAGUCAGGGUUAACCCAGAGGAUG